Molecule: transfer RNA, 65 nt
Filed under: Verrucomicrobiota bacterium
Lineage: Bacteria; Pseudomonadati; Verrucomicrobiota
Description: Verrucomicrobia bacterium (freshwater metagenome) tRNA-Asn
Rfam family: tRNA (bases 3-59)
About the family: Transfer RNA (tRNA) molecules are approximately 80 nucleotides in length.
Source: RNAcentral
GGUAGCUCAGCGGUAGAGCAGGUGACUGUUAAUCACUUGGUCGUAGGUUCGAUCCCUACAAACCU